AUACGGAGGAUGCGAGCGUUAUCCGGAUUUAUUGGGUUUAAAGGGAGCGUAGGUGGGAUAUUAAGUCAGCUGUGAAAGUUUGGGGCUCAACCUUAAAAUUGCAGUUGAUACUGGUUUCCUUGAGUACGGUAUAGGUGGGCGGAAUUCGUGGUGUAGCGGUGAAAUGCUUAGAUAUCACGAAGAACUCCGAUCGCGAAGGCAGCUCACCGGGCCGGAACUGACACUGAUGCUCGAAAGUGCGGGUAUCAAACAGGAUUAGAUACCCUGGUAGUCCGCACAGUAAACGAUGAAUACUCGCUGUUUGCGAUACACUGUAAGCGGCCAAGCGAAAGCGUUACGUAUUCCACCUGGGGAGUACGCCGGCAACGGUGAAACUCAAAUGAAUUGACGGGG
Molecule: ribosomal RNA, 393 nt
Filed under: uncultured bacterium
Lineage: Bacteria
Description: partial 16S ribosomal RNA
Rfam family: Bacterial small subunit ribosomal RNA
Source: RNAcentral